Molecule: ribosomal RNA, 465 nt
Filed under: Vreelandella stevensii
Lineage: Bacteria; Pseudomonadati; Pseudomonadota; Gammaproteobacteria; Oceanospirillales; Halomonadaceae
Description: partial 16S ribosomal RNA
Rfam family: Bacterial small subunit ribosomal RNA
Source: RNAcentral
CCUACGGGCGGCAGCAGUGGGGAAUAUUGGACAAUGGGGGCAACCCUGAUCCAGCCAUGCCGCGUGUGUGAAGAAGGCCCUCGGGUUGUAAAGCACUUUCAGUGAGGAAGAACGCCUGGUGGUUAAUACCCAUCAGGAAAGACAUCACUCACAGAAGAAGCACCGGCUAACUCCGUGCCAGCAGCCGCGGUAAUACGGAGGGUGCGAGCGUCAAUCGGAAUUACUGGGCGUAAAGCGCGCGUAGGUGGCUUGAUAAGCCGGUUGUGAAAGCCCCGGGCUCAACCUGGGAACGGCAUCCGGAACUGUCAAGCUAGAGUGCAGGAGAGGAAGGUAGAAUUCCCGGUGUAGCGGUGAAAUGCGUAGAGAUCGGGAGGAAUACCAGUGGCGAAGGCGGCCUUCUGGACUGACACUGACACUGAGGUGCGAAAGCGUGGGUAGCAAACAGGAUUAGAUACCCCAGUAGUC